This 463-nucleotide ribosomal RNA is filed under the name uncultured bacterium. RNAcentral describes it as "bacterial SSU rRNA". It matches the Rfam family "Bacterial small subunit ribosomal RNA", at positions 331 to 792 of the family's 1533-position model. The record is from RNAcentral.
CCAGACUCCUACGGGAGGCAGCAGUGAGGAAUAUUGGUCAAUGGUCGGGAGACUGAACCAGCCAAGCCGCGUGAGGGAUGAAGGUACAGAGUAUCGUAAACCUCUUUUGUCAGGGAACAAAGGCGGGGACUAGUCCCCGGAUGAGGGUACCUGAAGAAAAAGCAUCGGCUAACUCCGUGCCAGCAGCCGCGGUAAUACGGAGGAUGCGAGCGUUAUCCGGAUUUAUUGGGUUUAAAGGGUGCGCAGGCGGCUUGUUAAGUCAGGGGUAAAGGCCGGGGGCCCACCCCCGGCGAGCCGUUGAAACUGGCGGGCUGGAGUUGGAGAGAAGUACGCGGAAUGCGCGGUGUAGCGGUGAAAUGCUUAGAUAUCGCGCAGAACCCCGAUUGCGAAGGCAGCGUACCGGCUCCACACUGACGCUGAGGCACGAAAGCGUGGGUAUCGAACAGGAUUAGAUACCCCAGUA